RNAcentral lists this non-coding RNA (28 nucleotides) under Bombyx mori (domestic silkworm). Lineage: Eukaryota; Metazoa; Arthropoda; Insecta; Lepidoptera; Bombycidae. The record is from RNAcentral.
UAACUGGUAGAAACUGGAGGUGUGUCUU